AGGGGAGGCAUCUGGAAGAAGGAACUGUAUUCCUGCCUGGAAUGUUGCUGAGCCUGUGCAAGCUUCCGCCACUGUCAGCUAUGACUUCGUCUGAGUCUGUGCCCCAGUGGUCUUCCCAGCCUGGUGGCCUGGGGGCCUACUCAGUGUCCAAGGAACGUGGUCAUUCAGUCCUGCAGAGGGUGGGGCUGUGGGGAAAGGAAGCUGCAGGCUUAGCGACCUGUGAGGCAAACAGCCCGGAGGGAUGCAGCCUGCCCAGCUGCUGGAGGGAAGGAGAGCACGCUUUGCUGAGAAAGGCCCGGAGCCUGUCCUUGCUCGCCAGCGUCCCCAGGCCACCUGCCCUUCUCUGUGCCUGCCUGACAGCCGCGCUCCUUGUGGAAGUUAAACUGCAGAACCAAUGUUGGCUACUUCUUCAUACAGCUCCCAGAGAAAGCUUAAUCAGGGGCAUGGCUGGGGUUCACCCACUGUCCCUUUCUGUGCAUCAGAUCAGGGCCGGGCAGGGAGUUGAUAAUGUGGCUGGGGUUGGAGACGAAGAGGCCCCCUUCCUCCUCUGGCAGCUGAUGGGGCAAGAGCAUGACAACAGCAAGAGCAUCAUAUAUGGGGGGCCAAGUGCUUUAUAUCCAUCAUCUCAUUCCCCCCGUGAGAACUCUGUCAAGUGGGCACCUCUGUGUGGGAUUUGAGGAUGAGCCAGGUAAGGAAUCUGCCAAAGGGCACACAGCUAGUAACCGUGUGGAGUGCCGAUUUGGCUGUCUGGGCUCAGAAUUCCAGGGCAAGUCAUUUAAUCUCUCAGGUCUUAGUUUCCUAUCUGGAAAAUGAAAGCAUUUAAAGCCUCCCUGUAUCAUUAUUGGGAAGAUUGGAGAAAGGAUGUAUAGUACCUAGCACACAGCAUGUAGUACAUGCUCACUAGAUGACGCCUGCGAUGGUGAUGAUGGGAUGAUGGCGGUGAUGGUGAUGGGCUGAUGGUGAUGCUGGCAAUGGUGAUGAUGGUGGUGAUGGUGAUGAUGAUGGUGGUGAUGAUGGUGAUGGUGAUGGCAGUGGUGGUGGUGAUGAUGAUGGUGAUGAUGGUAAUGGGGAUGGUGACGGUGAUGACGAUGGGAUGAUGGUGGUGAUGGUGAUGAUGGCAAUGGUGAUGAUGGUGGUGACGGUGAUGAUGGCAAUGGUGAUGGUAAUGAUGUUGGUGAUCGUUAUCAUGGUGACGAGGAGGACAGUGAGAUGCCAAAUUAUUGAACUAUUUCUAGACCUAGGCUUGCUGACCCUCAUCCACCCCCUAAAAGGGCGUUUUGCCCCACAGAUAAAUAUGGAGGAAUGUUCUUUUGCUCCCUGAGUAUAUCAGUGUCGUGUGGCUGCCGUAACAAGUUGCCGCUAACCGGGUGCUUAAAGCAGCAGAAACUUAUUCUCUCAAAGUCCUGGAGGCCAGAAGUCAAAAAUUAAGGUGCUGGCAGUGUCGGUUCUUUCUGGAGACUCUGAGGGGGAAACAGCCCAUACUCCUCCCCCAGCUUGCGGGGGUUGCCAGCCUUCCCUGGAGUUCCUUGGCUUGUGGCCGCAUCUCUCCAGUCUGCCUCUGUCUUCACACGGCCUUCCCCUCUGUGUGUCUCUGUGUGACCUCUUCUGUCUCUUAUAAGGACAGCCUCCUUGGGUUUAGGGCCGAGCCUAAUCCAAGAUAAUCCUAUUUCUAUCCUUAGCUUAACUGUAUCUGCAAACACCCUGUUUCCAAAUAAGGCCACGUUCUGAGGUCCCAGGUGGACAUGAAUUUGGGGGGGGGGGCACUAUGCAGCCCACUACACUGAGGUGGGUCAGCAGCAGUCCAAGGAAAUGACAUGGACGUGUCGUGCCCCCACCCGUCAG
RNAcentral lists this long non-coding RNA (1842 nucleotides) under Equus caballus (horse). Its description in RNAcentral is "lncRNA (ENSECAG00000058996.1)". Lineage: Eukaryota; Metazoa; Chordata; Mammalia; Perissodactyla; Equidae. The record is from RNAcentral.